RNAcentral lists this small RNA (131 nucleotides) under Erwinia sp. Its description in RNAcentral is "Manganese sequence". It matches the Rfam family "Manganese Mn2+ riboswitch aptamer (yybP-ykoY)". From Rfam's summary of the family: This RNA was originally discovered in E. coli during a large scale screen and was named SraF. The family was later found to exist upstream of related families of protein genes in many bacteria, including the the yybP and ykoK genes in B. subtilis. The record is from RNAcentral. Lineage: Bacteria; Pseudomonadati; Pseudomonadota; Gammaproteobacteria; Enterobacterales; Erwiniaceae.
GCCGCCGUCGUUGGGGAGUAGCCGGCUUCUGUUUUUUCAGAAGCGCACCAGUCAACAUACUCGUUCCGCAGAACGUGGUUGGUGCGACCUGUCAGGUUGGCGAGACCAAAGACACAUGGGCCGGUCAGGUU